Molecule: ribosomal RNA, 422 nt
Filed under: Vibrio sp. P1-15
Lineage: Bacteria; Pseudomonadati; Pseudomonadota; Gammaproteobacteria; Vibrionales; Vibrionaceae
Description: bacterial SSU rRNA
Rfam family: Bacterial small subunit ribosomal RNA
Source: RNAcentral
GCCUACACAUGCAAGUCGAGCGGAAACGAGUUAUCUGAACCUUCGGGGAACGAUACGGCGUCUAGCGGCGGACGGGUGAGUAAUGCCUGGGAAAUUGCCCUGAUGUGGGGGAUAACUAUUGGAAACGAUAGCUAAUACCGCAUAAUGUCUACGGACCAAAGAGGGGGACCUUCGGGCCUCUCGCUUCAGGAUAUGCCCAGGUGGGAUUAGCUAGUUGGUGAGGUAAUGGCUCACCAAGGCGACGAUCCCUAGCUGGUCUGAGAGGAUGAUCAGCCACACUGGAACUGAGACACGGUCCAGACUCCUACGGGAGGCAGCAGUGGGGAAUAUUGCACAAUGGGCGCAAGCCUGAUGCAGCCAUGCCGCGUGUAUGAAGAAGGCCUUCGGGUUGUAAAGUACUUUCAGUCGUGAGGAAGGCAAUA